This 536-nucleotide ribosomal RNA is filed under the name Cuterebra sp. MATM-2012. Its description in RNAcentral is "partial small subunit ribosomal RNA". It matches the Rfam family "Bacterial large subunit ribosomal RNA", at positions 1856 to 2650 of the family's 2925-position model. Lineage: Eukaryota; Metazoa; Arthropoda; Insecta; Diptera; Oestridae. The record is from RNAcentral.
AACCUGCCCACUGAUUUAUUAAAUGGCCGCAGUAUAUUAACUGUGCAAAGGUAGCAUAAUCAUUAGUCUUUUAAUUGGAGGCUUGUAUGAAUGGUUGGACGAAAUAUUAACUGUUUCAUAAAAAAUUAUAUUAAAAUUUUAUUUUUUAGUAAAAAAGCUAAAAUUUAUUUAAAAGACGAGAAGACCCUAUAAAUCUUUAUAUUAAAAUUAUUAUAAUUUUAUAGAUUAAUUUUAUUAUAAUAAUAAAUUAUAUUUUAUUGGGGUGAUAUUAAAAUUUAAUUAACUUUUAAUUUUGUUAUACAUUAAUUUAUGAAUUAUUGAUCCAUUAUUAAUGAUUAAAAAAAUAAGUUACUUUAGGGAUAACAGCGUAAUUUUUUUGGAGAGUUCAUAUCGAUAAAAAAGAUUGCGACCUCGAUGUUGGAUUAAGAUAUAAUUUUAGGUGUAGCCGCUUAAAUUUUAAGUCUGUUCGACUUUUAAAUUCUUACAUGAUCUGAGUUCAAACCGGUGUAAGCCAGGUUGGUUUCUAUCUUUAGAAA